This 253-nucleotide ribosomal RNA is filed under the name uncultured bacterium. RNAcentral describes it as "partial 16S ribosomal RNA". It matches the Rfam family "Bacterial small subunit ribosomal RNA", at positions 524 to 776 of the family's 1533-position model. The record is from RNAcentral.
UACGUAGGGACCGAGCGUUGUCCGGAAUCAUUGGGCGUAAAGAGCGUGUAGGCGGCCACUUAAGUCAGCUGUGAAAUCCCCGGGCUCAACCUGGGCACUGCAGUUGAAACUGGCAAGCUAGAGUAGGGUAGAGGGGUGUGGAAUUCCAGGUGUAGCGGUGAAAUGCGUAGAUAUCUGGAGGAACAUCAGUGGCGAAGGCGACACCCUGGACUCAUACUGACACUGAGGUGCGAAAGCGUGGGGAGCAAACAGG